This 253-nucleotide ribosomal RNA is filed under the name uncultured bacterium. Its description in RNAcentral is "partial 16S ribosomal RNA". It matches the Rfam family "Bacterial small subunit ribosomal RNA", at positions 524 to 776 of the family's 1533-position model. The record is from RNAcentral.
UACGUAGGUGGCAAGCGUUGUCCGGAAUUAUUGGGCGUAAAGCGCUCGCAGGCGGUUCCUUAAGUCUGAUGUGAAAUCUUGCAGCUUAACUGCAAGCGGUCAUUGGAAACUGGGGGACUUGAGUACAGAAGAGGAGAGCGGAAUUCCACGUGUAGCGGUGAAAUGCGUAGAGAUGUGGAGGAACACCAGUGGCGAAGGCGGGACUCUGGGCUGUAACUGACACUGAGGAGCGAAAGCAUGGGGAGCGAACAGG